Molecule: long non-coding RNA, 241 nt
Filed under: Elaeis guineensis (African oil palm)
Lineage: Eukaryota; Viridiplantae; Streptophyta; Magnoliopsida; Arecales; Arecaceae
Description: long non-coding RNA (EGUI_LNC033572)
Source: RNAcentral
GGUACAUAACUUUCAACAACAGCAAACACAACAGUAACAGCAACUACUGACAGAGAAAUUGGUGGUGCAUUCAGUGUCAUCCAAGCACAGUCACUGUCGUCCAUGAUGAUCACUUUCUCCAUCUCCAGAAUGACGACCGUCUCGAUAUUCUCAUCAUAUCGAGCCACCACUUUCUCGACAUUCUCACCAUGCCGCUCACCAUUUGCGGUAAUCUCCUUCUCCUUCAUGUGUACAUAGCAUU